This 360-nucleotide ribosomal RNA is filed under the name uncultured bacterium. Its description in RNAcentral is "bacterial SSU rRNA". It matches the Rfam family "Bacterial small subunit ribosomal RNA", at positions 160 to 507 of the family's 1533-position model. The record is from RNAcentral.
GCUGGAAACCAGGAUAGGCAUUUUCCACGCAUGAGGGAGAUGAGAAAGGCGGAGCAAUCUGCCGCUUAUGGAUGGACCUGCGUCGCAUUAGCUAGUUGGAGUGGUAAAGGCACACCAAGGCGACGAUGCGUAGCCGACUGAGAGGGUGAGCGGCCACACUGGGACUGAGACACGGCCCAGACUCCUACGGGAGGCAGCAGUAGGGAAUCUUCCGCAAUGGACGAAAGUCUGACGGAGCAACGCCGCGUGAGUGAAGAAGGUUUUCGGAUCGUAAAGCUCUGUUGCCAGGGAAGAAGAGCAAGGAGAGGAACUGCUCCUUGAGUGACGGUACCUGAGAAGAAAGCCCCGGCUAACUACGUG